UGUGUAACGCCCGGAUAAUUAUGCUACAGUAAAAUUCUGUAUUGAUGCCACGUCACCUUCGUUACUGUUGCUAAUCUUUCAUUAGUUCAAAACCGGUCCAAAAAUCAAAAUUCAAAUAUGACAAACAACAAAAGUUUUCAAACAUCAAAACAAAAAUGUUCGGGCAGUGCCAAAUAUUGCAUAGGUAAUUAUGGUGAAGUAAACACAUUUUUAGAAAAUGACUAAAUACUUUAAAAUGAAAUAAAACAGAAAAGAAAAAUAAAGAAAAGAAAGAAGGAAAGAGAAAGGAAACCCCCCCAAACUGUAGCGACCAGACCUCAAACAGUCUGACCUCUGUGCUCAGUGUCAUCCCUGGAUCAGUAAUGCUGACACCACACAGUACUUGGAGGAUUUAUAACAGAGUAGCAAUCACACACUUAUUACAUCGAAUGUCUCAAAAGAGAACUUAUUGAAAUAAAUAUGGCUUAAGGCCAUCUAAUACGAUAACAGCGGAAGGCUUGGAAGAUAAGCGAGUCCAUCAACUCCAACGGCAUCACUGAGUAUAGAACCACGACCUAAAAGCACCUUACACUUUGUCUGAAAAGUCUGCAACGUGAAACGUUGCAGCCCGAAACGGGUCAGCAUAUGGAAUAUGCUGGCAAUGUAACACAUAGAGAAUAACAAUGGAGAAUGGCUAUACUACAUGCAUAUUUGGCUGGUGGUAAAGCUCUACGGUUACAGUUUUGCGAAAAGCAAAUUUUUCCCUACUACAAAGGAAUAAAUUUUAUUUAACUAUCAUGGUGGUUGUUAAACAUUGAGAAUGGUUGACAGCAUCCUCAAUCCCAAUUAAAAGUACUCAUUUAAAACCCAACAAUAUUAAUUAGAAGUAACAUGAUGAGAAUCACACGAUAUCCAGGUACUAGAUACUCAAAACGCCCAUAACCGGGGACACGGCUAACCAUGAUUAGUUUAUACACUCUGCAGAGGUUUGCGCACUUUUCCCCACAUGACUCGAUCGCCUCUGCUUGGUUCCUCGCACUACAUGGUGUUUGAGAAACGGAUGACCGAGACAUAGUCUUUCAGAAGCACUAGCAUCUUACAUGAGGGGUAGACCGUACCAACCUACAUCUGCUAGUCCACCCCGUAAGAGUUCGCACAACUUAGUCAACUAUGCUAGAGCCCAUAAUAGCAUGUGGCUGCACACGUAAGUUACUAGUAUGAAUUAUCUUAUGAUCCCUUUGAGCCUGGAUGGCGGUCCAAAGAAAUACAUGCAAGUCCUGCUAGAAAACAGGUGCCUCAAUCCACCCAGAUGUGUGUUUAAGUUGCCACCUUAAGUAAACCGGUAAUUAACAAUCUCACAUCUGUCAUGGAUAUUCACUCACCCAAUCCACGUCUACUAGCAUAGCAUGGCAUAGUAAGCAACGUAGAAGUAACUCCAAAAGGUUUGAUAAUAAAACAGGUAAUAGGUACUACCUCAUCUACUUCCCAUCCCACAAUUUAAUUAGAUCCUAUUCAUGCAAUGUUUGAGGAUAGAUCUAAUGCAUAAAACUGGGUAGUAGAAAGGUAUGAUCAAGUGUUACUUGCCUUGCUGAUGAUCCGCGAAACCUAGGGACUCGAAGUAACAGGCGGCGCACUCCGGGUAUUCUAUCGCAGACAAACAAACAAGCAUACAAUAAGUACUCAUCUAAUGCACAGGUAAAACUCGAACAAAAGAUCCAACCGGAAAGUUCAACUUAAGAACUCCGGUUGCAAAAAGAAUCAAAUCAACUAAAGCAACGAAAGUCAAACGGCGAAAGAAACAACUUCAUUUCGCUAAUCUGGAUCUAAGUCAAAUUUUACAGAAGCAAAAGCUAGUUUAAGUAGAUUAUUCGGAAAGAGGGUUUCGAGACGAAACUCCAGGCGCUUGAAUUGCUUGAUUCCGAUAAACGAGCGAAAAUUUAUACUAAAUCGAAAAUCGGAUCAGAAAUCGCGAUCAGAAAAUAACCGCGGAAAAUCCGAGAAAAAGAAAAACGACGAACAGAUUAUCGAACGAACGUUCGUUAAUCUAACGAAUCUGACGAAAAGCGUUCGUUAAGACGAACUAAUGGACGAACGUCCGCUAAUUAACCUAAACCGAAAAAAAACCGAAAACUAAAAUAAAACGAAUCUAAAAAAAACCGUAAAGAAAACCGCCCGGUUUUUUUUAAGAAAACCGGCGGCACGCGNNNNNNNNNNNNNNNNNNNNNNNNNNNNNNNNNNNNNNNNNNNNNNNNNNNNNNNNNNNNNNNNNNNNNNNNNNNNNNNNNNNNNNNNNNNNNNNNNNNNNNNNNNNNNNNNNNNNNNNNNNNNNNNNNNNNNNNNNNNNNNNNNNNNNNNNNNNNNNNNNNNNNNNNNNNNNNNNNNNNNNNNNNNNNNNNNNNNNNNNNNNNNNNNNNNNNNNNNNNNNNNNNNNNNNNNNNNNNNNNNNNNNNNNNNNNNNNNNNNNNNNNNNNNNNNNNNNNNNNNNNNNNNNNNNNNNNNNNNNNNNNNNNNNNNNNNNNNNNNNNNNNNNNNNNNNNNNNNNNNNNNNNNNNNNNNNNNNNNNNNNNNNNNNNNNNNNNNNNNNNNNNNNNNNNNNNNNNNNNNNNNNNNNNNNNNNNNNNNNNNNNNNNNNNNNNNNNNNNNNNNNNNNNNNNNNNNNNNNNNNNNNNNNNNNNNNNNNNNNNNNNNNNNNNNNNNNNNNNNNNNNNNNNNNNNNNNNNNNNNNNNNNNNNNNNNNACCUCGGGGUGCGGGCGGUGGCUCCGGCGGCGGCGGCGGCGGCGGGCGGCGUCGGCGGUGGCGACGACGGCUGGCUAGGGUUAGGGUUUGCGGGUGGGCCAGCGGGGUGGGCUGCGGGCUUGGGGCGCCAGGGUCCCGCGCUUUAUAUAGCGCCCCCGAGCGGAGUCCCGCUCGGGUACGGCCCGGAGUCGGUUCCGUUUUUUUUAAAACAUUACGCUCGGUAGAAAAAUCAAAAGAAAUAUUAAACGGACUCCAAAAAUCCCGAAAUAAAUUUUCCCCGGCUUCUAAAAUCAAGCCGGACUAGAUGAACAUUUAUUUGGGGCCUAAAUGAAAUUUUGAAAAACGCACAUUUUUCCUAAAUUCAAAAUAAAAGGCGAAAAACUCCAAAAUAAAACUUAUUUGAUUUUUUAUUAAAUCCUCAUUAUUUCUUUAUUUUGGGAAAGUCAUUUUAUUCCCUCUCUGAAUUUUUGGUAGUAGAAAUAACGGAAGAUAAUAUAAAUAAAAUCAAUGAUCCUAUUUUCAGCAUUUGAGAAAAACCCCAAAUAUGAAAAUAACGAAAUCCCCAACUCUCUCCGAGGGUCCUUGAGUUGCGUAGAAUUUCUAGGAUCGAGCCAACGAUGCAAUAAAAAUAUGAUAUGCAUGAUGAUCUAUGUAUAACAUUCCAAAUUGGAAAUUUGGGAUGUUACAAACCUACCCCCCUUAAGAUGAAUCUCGCCCUCGAGAUUCGGGUUGGCUAGCAAAUAGGUGAGGGUGGUCCUUGAGCAGAUCUUCCUCUCGUUCCCAGGUGGCUUCCUCCUCGGUGUGGUGGCUCCACUGAACCUUGCAAAACUUGAUAACCUUGCUGCGAGUAACUCUGCUGGCAUAAUCCAAAAUCUUAACAGGUUUCUCUUCAUAGGUCAGAUCUUCUUUCAACUGAAUCGUCUCCAAUGACACCGUAUCUCUCAGUGGUAUAUCGGCCAUCUCUGCGUGACACUUCUUCAACUGUGAUACAUGGAACACAUCAUAAACUCCUGAUAAUCCCUCAGGUAAUUCCAACUUGUAUGCUACUUCUCCCAUGCGUUCCAAAACCUUGUAUGGCCCCACAAAACGUGGCGCUAACUUUCCUUUAACUCCAAAACGCUUAACUCCUCGUAGUGGAGAUACUCGAAGAUAAACUCUGUCUCCGACUACGUAUUCUGUCUCCUUGCGUUUCGAAUCUGCAUAGCUCUUCUGCCUGGACUGGGCUACCUUGAGUCUAUCACGAAUAAACUUAACUUUCUGCUCGGACUCCUUAAUCAAAUCUGCUCCAAACAACUGGCGGUCUCCAACCUCAUCCCACAACAACGGGGUUCUGCACCUCCUUCCGUACAAGGCUUCGAAAGGGGCCAUCUUCAAACUGGACUGAUAGCUGUUGUUGUAAGAAAACUCCGCGUAGGGCAAGUUGUCAUCCCAACUUGAUCCAUAAUCCAAAACACAAGCUCUAAGCAUAUCCUCCAAAAUCUGAUUGACCCUCUCGGUUUGUCCAUCUGUCUGUGGGUGGAAAGCUGUGCUAAACUCCAGCCCGGUUCCCAAUGUUUUGUGCAACUGUUUCCAGAACUUCGAGGUGAAUUGGGUCCCUCUAUCUGAUAUGAUACUCCUCGGAACUCCAUGCAAACAUACAAUCCUCGUCAUGUAUAUCUUAGCCAAUUUGGCACUGCUGUAGGUAGUCUUGACUGGGAUGAAAUGAGCUACCUUUGUCAAACGAUCAACUACAACCCAAAUCGAGUCAUAGCCUGAACGCGUCCUGGGCAAUCCCGUGAUGAAAUCCAUACCUAAUUUAUCCCACUUCCAUUCGGGUAUAGGUAAGGGCUGUAACAGUCCAGCUGGCUUCUGAUGUUCUGCUUUCACCCUCUGACAAACAUCACAAACUGCUACAUACUCUGCGAUAUCCUUCUUCAUUCCGGUCCACCAGAAUGUUUCCUUCAAAUCCAAAUACAUCUUGGUAUUUCCUGGGUGAAUCGAAUAGGGUGAAUCAUGUGCCCUCUUGCAGAAUUAACUUCCUGAUCUCCGGGUUAUUUGGCACAUAAACACGGUCCUCAAAUCGUCGGAUAUCGUACUCAUCCUCACGAAAUCCCUUAGCCUUUCCUUUGCUCAUCUGUUCCUUAAUAGUGACAACCUCCGUAUCUGCUUUUUGAGCUUCUCUGAUUUUAUCCAUCAGCGUAGACUGAAUCUCCAAUGCUGCUACAUAGCCUCUCGGAACUAUUUCCAAACAUAGCUCUCGAAGGUCCUCGGCUAACUCCUUGGGUAUUUCUCCCGUCAUUAGAGUAUUGACAUGGCUCUUGUGGCUCAACGCGUCUGCUACAACGUUAGCCUUCCCGGGGUGAUAAUGCAAUCUCAUAUCAUAAUCCUUAAUAAGUUCCAACCAUCUCCUCUGCCUGAGAUUUAACUCCUUCUGCGUGAAGAUGUACUUCAAACUCUUGUGAUCCGUGUACACUUCACAACGAUUCCCAAUGAGAAAAUGUCUCCACGUUUUCAGUGCAUGCACUACGGCUGCUAACUCCAAAUCAUGAGUAGCAUAAUUCAACUCAUGGGGCUUAAGUUGUCAUGAAGCAUACGAAACAACUCUACCCUCCUGCAUAAGCACUGCUCCAAGUCCUCUACGUGAAGCGUCGCAAUACACUUCAUAAUCCUUAGUCUGAUCUGGCAAAAUCAACACUGGUGAGGUAACCAAAUGUUUCUUCAACUCUUGGAAACUAGCUUCACACUCCUCAGUCCAUAUGAACUUAGUAUCCUUCUUCAAUAACUCUGUCAUAGGCUUCGCAAUCUUUGAGAAAUUUUCAAUGAAUCUCCGGUAGUAUCCUGCGAGUCCAAGAAAACUCCGGAUCUCUCCAACUGUCGUUGGUGCUUCCCAAUUGGUCACAGUGACUACUUUGGUGGGGUCUACUGCGAUACCUUCUCCAGAUAUAAUGUGUCCGAGAAAUCCAACUUCCUUUAGCCAAAACUCACAUUUGCUGAACUUGGCAUAUAACUGAUGCUCCCUUAGCUUCUCCAAAACCAAUCGCAAAUGUUCCUUAUGUUCUUCUUCAUUCUUCGAGGAAACCAAAAUAUCAUCAAUGAACACCACGACAAACUUAUCCAAAAAUUCCAUAAACACAUUGUUCAUCAGGUUCAUAAAAUAGGCAGGUGCGUUAGUCAGUCCAAAUGACAUAAUGGUAUACUCAUACAGUCCAUACCUUGUGGUGAACGCUGUCUUAGGUAUGUCCUGCUCUCGAAUCUUCAACUGAUGGUACCCUGAUCGCAAAUCGAUCUUGGAAAACACUUUAGCUCCUUGCAAACGAUCAAACAGAUCAUUUAUCAUUGGUAGUGGGUAUUUGUUCUUGAUUGUUACUGCAUUCAAUCCACGAUAAUCAACAACCAUUCUUAACGAUCCAUCCUUCUUCUCCACUAACAAUACGGGUGAUCCCCAAGGCGAAGAACUUGGGCGUAUAUAACCUUUAUCCAACAGCUCCUUAAUCUGUUUCUUGAUUUCCGCCAAAUCCUGUGCGGGCAUCCUGUAUGGUCGCUUCGAUAUCGGGCCUGUACCUGGCAACAGCUCAAUCAAAAACUCAAUGUCUCUAUCCGGUGGCAUUCCUGGCAAUUCCUCAGGAAAUACAUCAGGGUAAUCCUUCACUACUGGCACCUCUUCCUGCACAACUCUUGAUAAGGAAUUUACAUGUGCUCUCCUCGGCUCAUGCCGUGAUACAUACUUGAUCCUUAUCCCUUCUGGUGUUGUAAGCAAAAUGGUUUUACUGGCGCAAUCAAUGUUCCCUCCAUACUUCGAUAACCAAUCCAUGCCUAAUAUCACAUCCAAACCUUGCGAUUCCAGAACUAUUAGGUCCGAGGGAAAAAUAUGGUGUCCAAUCCUUAAUGGCAGUCGAUCACACCAUUUACUAGCCGUAUACUCUGCUCCGGGUGAGGUUACUAGCAUGGGUGACCUAAGUGCUUGGGUUGGCAAUUUAUAUUUAUCCACGAAUCCCCUUGAUAUGUAUGAAUGCAAUGCACCAGUAUCAAAAAGAACAACUACAGUAAAUGCCUUAACCAAAAACUUUACCUAUUACUGCAUCUGGCUGAGCUUCAACCUCCUCCACGGUAACGUAGUUCACUUGCCCCCUGUUGAAAGGGUUCGGCUUCUUUCCUGAGCUCCCAUUGCCAUUUCCAUUUUGGCCUUCAGGACAAUCGUUUGCAUAAUGCCCCGUCUUGCGGCACUUAUAACAGGUGAUAUGGCUCAGGUCUGCUUUGGAUGGUGUUGACGGGGAGGUGCGGCUUUGUCCAUUGCUUCCUCCAUUCCCGUUCCCAUUCUUUGUGCCAUUGUGAUUGUGCGAGCUACCUCCUCCAUGAGUAUGCUGAAACUGUCCUCCUGACUUUGGGGUAAAGCGUGGCUUCUGAUGAGCUCCAGAAUUAUACUUCCCAUGUGCAUAAUUCCUCUUACGAUUAUCAAUCUGCUGCUGCUUCCCUUCAAUCAUAAGGGCACGAUCUACUAACUCCUGGUAGUUAUUGAAAGUGGCUACCAUCAACUGCAUGCUCAGCUCAUUAUUUAGUCCUUCUAGAAACUUCUCCUGCUUAGCUGCAUCCGUAGCAACGUCAUCUGGGGCAUAACGUGCUAGUUUACUAAAAUCAUCCACGUACUGGCCAACUGUCCGUCCUCCUUGGCGCAAGUUGCGAAACUCACGCUUCUUCAUGGCCAUAGCUCCGGCUGAAACAUGGGCAGUACGGAAAGCUUGUUGGAACUGAUUCCAUGUGACAGUGUCUACAGGGUAAGUGGCUGUAAAAUUCUCCCACCAAGCUGCUGCGGGCCCGUCAAACUGAUGUGCAGCAAACUUCACUUUCUCACCAUCUGUGCAUCCUGCAGUGGUCAACUCCCUUCCUAUCUUGCGGAGCCAAUCAUCUGCUACAAUCGGCUCGGUGCUACUAGAAUACAUCGGCGGUUGCAGCCUAAGGAAACGAGUCAAGUGAUCCCCAGGUGGUGGUGGUGGUGGGUUGUUGUUGUUGUUGCCUUGGUUCUGUACCAAUGUCUGAAUCAAAGUAUUCUGCUGCUGAAUCAACUGGGUGAUCUCUGGCGGGAAAACAAACUCGGGGUUGCGUCUCGGAGGCAUCUGAAGGGUUUAGAAAAGACGAGAAAUUAAGAAUAGAGUGAGAUCUAAGGAGAAAACACUACCUAAAUGCUCAUGAGACAAAUGCACUCAAAAUCACUUCAUUCAAUUCAAACAAAGGGCUUACAACGGUCUAACUAUCGCAAAGGUGCGUGUACUAUAAUGUUUACAUGGAGGGGAAUACUACUAAUAUGUGGGGGUCAUCUAUUAAUUAGAACCAGUGGAAGACUCCAUGAUGUCUGCUCCAGCUUCGUCUUCAAAGUCGGGCUCACUUGGAUCCGAAUCGGUGUCGUCGAUGAUGAUGUAGUUGCUCGGACAGUCGACGUACUUGUCUUCAUUCUUGAGCUCCAAUUUCUUCUUGAGUUCUUCAAUCUCAUACUUAAGAUCGUUAUUGUGCUUUGCUACAGCUACGAUCUCGUCCAUGUAGUCCUUGAGUGUAGACUUUAGUUCUCCUUCAAGUUCGAUGAUCCUUCCCUUCGCAUUCUUCAACUCUAUCAUAUCAUUGAACAUCUGGUUCUCCUGGCGUCGAAUGUGCUGGUUUAACUCCUGGAUGAAAGCUGCAAUGGAUCUAUCCUUCUUGGUGCUGACUAUCUCCCAGUCUUCAUUCCUGCGUCCGCAAAUCUGGUAGAUGGUGUUCUUGAGGUCUUCUUGAUAAACUUCUCCAAUGCGUCCCAUGGUGAUAUGGGCUGCCAUGCUCUUUCCCAGACUCCAAGUUGGUGCAUUGAAAACACUAUCUAUAGGCUUGGUGAUUGGGGCGAAUGUCCUUCCCGGAACACGGGCUUGAAUCUUCCAGCGCUCCUCUUCAGGCAGAGUGGCGUUGAAAGUCCCGGCGAAGCUUGGUAGUCCAAUGUUCAGGUACUUGGUGACUUCCUUCAAGUGAAAUCCAAAUGGUGUACCCUCAUCUGGUUGAGCGUACUUGAUCUUUGCGUCCGUCAUCCUAAAGAAUAGAAAAGAUGAGGAGUCAGAAUUGAGAAGAAAGAGUAGUGAUCUAGGGCUUAAGCUUAGUGGCCGUGUCCUACAGUCAGCGUGUGCUCUGAUACCACCUUGUAGCGACCAGACCUCAAACAGUCUGACCUCUGUGCUCAGUGUCAUCCCUGGAUCAGUAAUGCUGACACCACACAGUACUUGGAGGAUUUAUAACAGAGUAGCAAUCACACACUUAUUACAUCGAAUGUCUCAAAAGAGAACUUAUUGAAAUAAAUAUGGCUUAAGGCCAUCUAAUACGAUAACAGCGGAAGGCUUGGAAGAUAAGCGAGUCCAUCAACUCCAACGGCAUCACUGAGUACAGAACCACGACCUAAAAGCACCUUACUCUUCGUCUGAAAAGUCUGCAACAUGAAACGUUGCAGCCCGAAACGGGUCAGCACAUGGAAUAUGCUGGCAAUAUAACACAUAGAGAAUAACAAUGGAGAAUGGCUAUACUACAUGCAUAUUUGGCUGGUGGUAAAGCUCUACGGUUAUAGUUUUGCGAAAAGCGCCUACUACAAAGGAAUAAAUUUUAUUUAACUAUCAUGGUGGUUGUUAAACAUUGAGAAUGGUUGACAGCAUCCUCAAUCCCAAUUAAAAGUACUCAUUUAAAACCCAACAAUAUUAAUUAGAAGUAACAUGAUGAGAUUCACAUGAUAUCCAGGUACUAGAUACUCAAAACGUCCAUAACCGGGGACACGGCUAACCAUGAUUAGUUUAUACACUCUGCAGAGGUUUGCACACUUUUCCCCACAUGACUCGAUCGCGUCCGCUUGUUUCCUCGUACUACAUGGUGUUUGAGAAAUGGAUGACCGAGACAUAGUCUUUCAGAAGCACUAGCACCUUACAUGAGGGGUAGACCGUACCAACCUACAUCCCCUACAUCUGCUAGUCCACCCCGUAAGAGUUCGCACAACUUAGUCAACUAUGCUAGAGCCCAUAAUAGCAUGUGGCUGCACACGUAAGUUACUAGUAUGAAUUAUCUUAUGAUCCCUUUGAGCCUGGGUGGCGGUCCGAAGAAAUACAGGCAACUCCUGCUAGAAAACAAGUGCCUCAAUCCACCCAGAUGUGUGUUUAAGUUGCCACCUUAAGUAAACCAGUAAUUAAUAAUCUCACAUCUGUCAUGGAUAUUCACUCACCCAAUCCACGUCUACUAGCAUAGCAUGGCAUAGUAAGCAACGUAGAAGUAACUCCCAAAGGUUUGAUAAUAAAACAGGUAAUAGGUACUACCUCAUCUACUUCCCAUCCCACAAUUUAAUUAGAUCCUAUUCAUGCAAUGUUUGAGGAUAGAUCUAAUGCAUAAAACUGGGUAGUAGAAAGGUAUGAUCAAGUGUUACUUGCCUUGCUGAUGAUCCGCGAAACCUAGGGACUCGAAGUAACAGGCGGCGCACUCCGGGUAUUCUAUCGCAGACAAACAAACAAGCAUACAAUAAGUACUCAUCUAAUGCACAGGUAAAACUCGAACAAAAGAUCCAACCAGAAAGUUCAACUUAAGAACUCCGGUUUGCAAAAAGAAUCAAAUCAACUAAAGCAACAAAAGUCAAACGGCGAAAGAAACAGCUUCGUUUUGCUAAUCUGGAUCUAAGUCAAAUUUUACAGAAGCAAAAACUUGUUUAAGUAGAUUAUUCGGAAAGAGGGUUUCGAGACGAAACUCCAGGCGCUUGAAUCGCCUGAUUCCGAUAAACGAGCGAAAAGUUAUACUAAAUCGAAAAUCGGAUCAGAAAUCGCGAUCAGAAAAUAAUCGCGGAAAAUCCGAGAAAAAGAAAAAUGACGAACAGAUUAUCGAACGAACGUUCGCUAAUCUAACGAAUCUGACGAAAAGCGUUCGUUAAGACGAACUAACGAACGAACGUCCGCUAAUUAACCUAAACCGAAAAAAAACCAAAAACUAAAAUAAAACGAAUCUAAAAAACCGAAAAAAAAACCGUAAAGAAAACCGCCCGGUUUUUUUAAGAAAACCGGCGGCACGCGGUUCGAGGAGGCGGCGGACCUCGNNNNNNNNNNNNNNNNNNNNNNNNNNNNNNNNNNNNNNNNNNNNNNNNNNNNNNNNNNNNNNNNNNNNNNNNNNNNNNNNNNNNNNNNNNNNNNNNNNNNNNNNNNNNNNNNNNNNNNNNNNNNNNNNNNNNNNNNNNNNNNNNNNNNNNNNNNNNNNNNNNNNNNNNNNNNNNNNNNNNNNNNNNNNNNNNNNNNNNNNNNNNNNNNNNNNNNNNNNNNNNNNNNNNNNNNNNNNNNNNNNNNNNNNNNNNNNNNNNNNNNNNNNNNNNNNNNNNNNNNNNNNNNNNNNNNNNNNNNNNNNNNNNNNNNNNNNNNNNNNNNNNNNNNNNNNNNNNNNNNNNNNNNNNNNNNNNNNNNNNNNNNNNNNNNNNNNNNNNNNNNNNNNNNNNNNNNNNNNNNNNNNNNNNNNNNNNNNNNNNNNNNNNCGGCGGGCGGCGGCGGCGGCGGCUGGCUAGGGUUAGGGUUUGCGGGUGGGCCAGCGGAGUGGGCUGCGGGCUUGGGGCGCUGGGGUCCCGCGCUUUAUAUAGCGCCCCCAAGCGGAGUCCCGCUCGGGUACGGCCCGGAGUCGGUUCCGUUUUUUUAAAACAUUAUGCUCGGUAGAAAAAUCAAAAGAAAUACUAAACGGACUCCAAAAAUCCCGAAAUAAAUUUUCCCCGGCUUCUAAAAUCAAGCCGGACUAGAUGAACAUUUAUUUGGGGCCUAAAUGCAAUUUUGAAAAACGCACAUUUUUCCUAAAUUUAAAAUAAAAGGUGAAAAACUCCAAAAUAAAACUAAUUUAUUUUUUUAUUAAAUCCUCAUUAUUUCUUUAUUUUGGGAAAGUCAUUUUAUUCCCUCUCUGAAUUUUUGGUAGUAGAAAUAACGGAAGAUAAAAUAAAUAAAAUCAAUGAUCCUAUUUUCAGCAUUUCAGAAUAAUCCCAAAUAUGAAAAUAACAAAAUCCCCAACUCUCUCCGAGGGUCCUUGAGUUGCGUAGAAUUUCUAGGAUCGAGCCAACGAUGCAAUAAAAAUAUGAUAUGCAUGAUGAUCUAUGUAUAACAUUCCAAAUUGGAAAUUUGGGAUGUUACACAAACCUCCUGGGCCAACUGGCCCAGCUAAACCAGCCUGGUCAGCCCAGCCGGCCCAGCUCCCCGCACCGCACCCCCUUCCUGUUCCUCGGUCGCGUGCCGCUACAGGGCGCGGUAGACACCGGACCCGCUCGCCGGUGUCGAGGUGGAUAAGGACGCCGACGCCGCGCCCCCUCGGUCUCUCCUCCCACUCGCCCCCCCCGCUCACCUUCGGUUCCUGCGCCACUACCCCUCCCCUCAGAUCCACCCCGCUCUCCUCCUUCCCAUCGCAUCCGAGCGCCACCAUGGACCCGCCGCCGUGAAACGUGCGGCCACAGCCCUCGCCUCACCUCGUUUGCGUGUCGUUCGUCUCCGCCAUCGUCUUCCUCGUCGACCGGUGGCCGCAGCUGGAGCUCGGAGGCGCUGCUGCAACGGCCCCCUUCUUCCACAUCUCCGGUCGCCGCCGUUCUUCCCCAACUCCGUCGACACCCCCUGCUGCUACUAAACUACCACGGGCCAUCUUGCGUGCCGCACGGUGAGCCUCUCCUCCCCCUGCUCCUCCUAGAUGGGCCUCUUGCGCACCAUAGGUACCUCGUGCCGUUGCCGUGAGCCCGUCGCUGCGGAUCACCUCGCCGCCGUGGCCAUGCUCUCCAUCGUGCUCCUGAUGCUCAUAGGAGCCCAACGCGCACGCACACACUCCCUCCUGUGCCUCCUAACUCCGUCCCCGUCGAGCUGCGAUUCCGGCUGCCGCCUGAUCUCAAAGCACCGCUCAACCCCGGCCACCCCCGUGCCCGCGACCACCGCCACUUGACGCACGUUGUCGCGUGCGUUCGAACGCACAUAGCCCUGCAACGAACCGUGCCCCGCAGCCCCGUCUUUGAACUCGCUCGGGCCCCGGCGUCCGCCCCGCUCGUCGCCGGCGACAGCUCCGACGACCUCGGGACGAACCGCCCACGCCACUAGAUGCGCCUCUUCACGCUCGUUCGAAUGAGCCCAUGCGCGCGCUGAUCCGUGCUCUGUGGGCAUUUUCCGGCGAACUCUGGCGGGUCAGCGCCGUGCAUUUGGUCGCCGCCGGCGAGAGCCACCCGUGCUGACCUGGCGUGGCGGGUCCCACUGCCUGGGCCACUGACUGGUGGGCCCAAGGCCCCCUGUUGACCAGUUGACUGAGUCAACUUGCUGACUGGGCUGGUCCCAGCAGCUGACUAGUGGCCCCCCCAUCUUUAAGCUAAUUAAAUUAGUUAAUCUAAUUAAUCUGGGCUAAUUAGGCACUGACUAAUGGGGCCCACACUUAGUUAACUCUAAAUUAGUUUAAAACAAAUCCUAUUUCACCUCUGUCUCAAUGACAGGUGGGUCCCAAUGGACCCACAGUCAAUUUUGACUCUAGUCAACCACACUGUUGACUGCUAACAUCACACAUACGUCAUGCUGACGUCAUCCCAUACUAUUCUGGAUAAUGUUGAUUUAAAUUAAUUAAAUAAAUUCUAGAAAAUGAUUAAAUCUUUAGAAAAUCAUAUCUUUUAAUCCGUAACUCGGAUGAAAAUACUUUCUACAUGAAAGUUGCUCAGAACGAUGAGACAAAUCCGGAUACGCAGCCCGUUCGUCCGCCACACAUCCCUAGCAUAGCGAACACGCAACUUUCCCCCUCCGGUUCACCUAUCCGAAAACGCGAAACACCGGGAAUACCUUCCCGGAUGUUUUCCCCCUUCGUCGGUAUCACCUACUACCGCGAUUGGGCACACCUAGCAUCGUUACUUGUCAUGUCAUGCAUCGAUAUGCAUCCGUUUGCAUGGUAUUCAUUGUUUCUUCCUCCUCUUCUCUCCGGUAGACUACGAGACCGACGCUGCUGCUGCCCAGUUCGACUACGGAGUUGACGACCCCUUGUUCUUGCCAGAGCAACCAGGCAAGCCCCCCCUUGAUCACCAGAUAUCGCCUAUUCUUCUCUAUACUGCUUGCAUUAGAGUAGUGUAGCAUGUUACUAUUCGGUUACUCCUAUUCUGUUGCAUAGCCUGUCAUUGUUGCUACAGUCAUUGAUACCUUACCCGCAAUCCUAAAUGCUUAGUAUAGGAUGCUAGUUUAUCACCAUUGGCCCUACAUUCUUGUCAGUCUGCCUUGCUAUACUAUUGGGCCGUGAUCACUCGGGAGGUGAUCACGGGUUUAUACUAUACAUAUAUACAUACUACAGAUGGUGACUAAAGUCGGGUCCGCUCGAAGAGUACCCGCGAGUGAUUCACGGAUUGGGGGCUGAAAGGACCUUUGUCCCAAUGACCCUCUGUGUGGAUCUUUGUGGAGGAGCGACAGGGCAGGUUGAGACCACCUAGGCGAGAGGUGGGCCUGGACCUGGUCGGCGUCCGCGGUUGCUUCAUAAUAACACGCUUAACGAGAUCUUGGUAUUUGAUCUGAGUCUGGCCAUUUGGUCUAUAUGCACUAACCAACUACGUGGGAAAGAUAUGGGCACUCGACGUCAUGGUAUCAGCCGAAGCCUUCUAGACGUCAGCGACUGAGCGGCGCGCGCCGGAUUGGAACGUAAGCCUGCUCUUGUAUUAAGGGGGCUAGUUCUGCUUUCGGCCGCCCACGCAACAUGCAGGUGUGCAAUGGGCGAUGGGCCAGACCCCUGCGCCAUAGGAGUUAGACCAGCGUGCUGACCUCUCUGUUAGGCCUAGGUGGGGCUGCGACGUGUUGAUCUUCCGAGGCCAGGCAUGACCCAGGAAAGUGUGUCCGGCCAAAUGGGAUCGAGCGUGUUGUGUUAUGUGGUGCACCCCUGCAGGGAAGUUAAUCUAUUCGAAUAGCCGUGUCCCUCGGAAAAAGGACGACCCAGAGUUGUACCUUGACCUUAUGACAACUAGAACCGGAUACUUAAUAAACACACCCAAACAAGUUCCACAGACAACCCGGUGAUCGCUUUUCCACAGGGCGACGAGGGGAGGAUCGCCGGGUAGGAUUAUGCUAUGCGAUGCUACUUGGAGGACUUCAAUCUACUCUCUUCUACAUGCUGCAAGAUGGAGGCUGCCAGAAGUGUAGUCUUCAACAGGAUUAGCUAUCCCCCUCUUAUUCUGGCAUUCUGCAGUUCAGUCCACCGAUAUGGCCCUUUACACAUAUACUCAUGCAUAUGUAGUGUAGAUCCUUGCUUGCGAGUACUUUGGAUGACUACUCACGGUUGCUUUCUCCCCCCUUUCCCCCCUUUCCUUUCUUUCUGGUUGUUGCAACCAGAUGCUGGAGCCUAGGAGCCAGACGCCACCGUCGACGACGACUACUACACUAGAGGUGCCUACUACUACGUGCAGGCUGCUGACGACGACCAGGAGUAGUUUAGGAGGAUCCCAGGCAGGAGGCCUGCGCCUCUUUCGAUCUGUAUCCCAGUUGUGCUAGCCUUCUUAAGGCAAACUUGUUUAACUUAUGUCUGUACUCAGAUAUUGUUACUUCCGCUGACUCGUCUAUGAUCGAGCACUUGUAUUCGAGCCCUCGAGGCCCCUGGCUUGUAUUAUGAUGCUUGUAUGACUUAUUUAUGUUUUUAGAGUUGUGUUGUGAUAUCUUUCCGUGAGUCCCUGAUCUUGAUCGUACACGUUUGUGUGCAUGAUUAGUGUACGAUUGAAUCGGGGGCGUCACAAGUUGGUAUCAGAGCCGACUGCCUGUAGGAUUCCCCCUUCCACACUCCUUGGCCGAAGUCGAGUCUAGUCACUACAAAACUUUUACUAACUUGGCUGUGUGCCUUACGGGCCCACGUCGCCAUUGGGUGGUAUUAGGAUCUUUUACUUCUCGACCUUUACUCUGGGGCUCUGAACUCUCUCCUACUCGGGUUAAACGAAUUUACUAACUCUAACAUUAGGAUCCCGUUACCACGUUCACCCCAAAGUUGGAUAAGCCAUAGUUAUUCUGUAGGAUAGUAUUUUGAAUAGUACCCACAUUGUCAUUUGACUCCAUUGAAACAUCUUUGUUUUCAGAUGGAACCCACGAGGCAGGUCGUGCGCCACACGGCGGCCAUUGGUGCCUCAAGAUCACCUGCUGUGCUAGCUGAGAUGAUGACCUAUCUGGGUUAUCGCUGGCACCCUGAGUACACCGUCUAUGAGGAGUACCAGGACUUUAACCAGGAGCAGUACCGUGCCAUCGUCCACCUCUACUCUCGGGAGUAUGACUCCACUACUGUGCUGCACAACGCUUAUGGUGUUGGAGUGACCAUCGAGAUGGCAGUUCACGAUGCUGCCUAUGCUGCUCUGACACGUCUUCAUGGAGAGUAUCGGGCGUUGGACACUUCCCUUUCAGGCACAUUGCUAUCGUAUCCGACGUUGGUGCGGAGGGAUACUACACUGCUGCCUACUCCACUGUCACUCGAGAGCCCUUCCACCAUCAGAGCCUGGUUCUGCAUGCUGAUGGGUUGGACCGAGCUAACCGAGCUCUUCGCCACGAGUUGUACACCACUCGUCAGCACCUUUGCAGGGCUCUGACGCUGUUGCACCCCUUUGUUCUAUCUAGACAGCUACCGCGUUCUGCGAUCUACCCAGCCAGGACCGUGAUGCCCGAUGGUGUCGGUUGGCCAGAGGUGGGAGGCUACUCUCCCGCACUUGGUCCUCUUCUGCCACCUGAGCGUCGGGCUCUACACCAGAGUAUCCGCGGCCCCCAGGCCGCUGACGUGGACUAUCCGUUGCCUCACUACCAGUUGUCGGGCAACGACUACCUCCACAGUACCUCCUGGGACUGAUGUAGUCUUGCUUAUUAGUAUUAGAUGCAUUCGCCGCGAGCCUGCGUGCCGCCUAUGAUGACUUAGUCUAUGUACUGAACUCUGUGUACUGAACUCUAUGUCCGACCCCUUUUGUAAGAUAUGCCGACUACUAUGUAGUAUCUGUCGUGCUCCUUUCAUUAUGCAUGUUUCAUCAUGAAUGAUUCUUGUCUAUGCAAAUUUCUCAAUGCUGAACUACCCCUGUUAUAUAUUAGCAGGAUGGUUAGACCAGCUGGUCGUGGUCGUGGUGACAACGCCCCACCACCGCCUGAGUACAUGGCUGGUAUGGUCCAACAGCUCGAGAUGAAUCGCCAGUUCAUGGAGAAUAUGAUGGCUCAGUUCCCUCGCCCCAAUAUGAACGAGCAGCCAGCCCAAGUGACUCUACAGGAUUUCAUGCGCCUCAACCCAACCGUGUACCGCAGCUCAACUCAGCCGCUGGAUGCUGAUGACUGGCUCCGUGACAUCACCUAUGAGAUGGAGUCUGCUGAGGUAGCCCCUGCCCGCUUUGUCACCUUUGCUUCCUUCUUUCCGAAGGGACUCGCAGCUCAAUGGUGGGACAGCCAUAGGCGUACUCUGCCAGUUGGGACAAUCAUCACCUGGCCAGACUUUCAAGCUGCCUUCCAUGCCCGCUUCAUUCCUCAGGGGAUCAUGGACAGGAAGAAGCGUGAAUUCCGCAACCUCACCCAGGGCAACAAAACAGUGGAAGCUUAUCAGCAGGAGUUCCUGGACUUGUCCCGCUAUGCUGAAGAAGACAUUGCAACCGAUGCACGCAGACAGGAGAAGUUCCGUGACGGCCUUCAAGCUGACAUCAAGCUCGCACUUCUAGUGCAUGACUUUGCCGAUUUCGCCACCUUGGUGAACAAGGCUAUCAAUGUCGAGACUGGGCUGCAGGAACACCAGAGCUCUCACAGGCGCAACCGUGACACGGGCUCAUCUUCGGGCCCGCCCUCGCAGAAGCGUAAGAUAUGGAUCCCGAACAGCAUGUACCGUCCAAAUACACCUGCCUCAAGGCAGACCUAUGCUGCACCUCGUCUGCCUCCUCCACCAUCUAGGUAGCCAAGGCUUCCAGCUCCACCACCCCAAGCUCCUGUUCCCACUCCCAAUAAUGGUCUGUGCUACAAGUGUGGUCAACCAGGUCAUCGUGCCAGGGACUGCAAUCAGAAUCAAAAUCAAUUGGCCCUUUCCGCAACUGGCCGUGGAAACAACCAGCCUGGCAACAACAAUGCCAAGUCUUAUGGUCGUGUUCAUGCCAACCAUGUUGAUCUGAACGAAGCUCAAGACCAGCCUGCUAUUGUGAUGGGUACACUCCUCGUAAAUUCAGUACCAUCAUCCGUUUUAUUUGAUAUAGGUGCAUCGCAUUCAUUCAUGUCAGAAGAUUUUGCAUGCUUGCACGACAUUAAAUGUGAGGACAUGAACGCUUCUCUAUUAGUGCACACCCCUGCGGGCCAAUGUCGGACCUCCAUGAUUUGCAACGACGUCCCCGUUGAAAUCGAAGGACUAGAAUUCCUUGUCUCUCCCAUCAUAUUGAAGUCCUAUAGCAUUGAUCUCAUUCUGGGAAUUGGUUAAAAGCGCAUACUGGUUCUAUAGUUUGCGCCACUAAGACCAUCCAUCUGCUACACCCUUCUGAUGAAAUAAUUAGCUACAAUGCUCAUCUAGUUCAGAAUGACGAGGCAAGGCUUUAUGCCUUGAACGCAUUGAACAUUGCACCCCUCGAGGGCAUUGAAAACAUUCCUGUCGUUCGUGAAUUCCAAGACGUCUUUCCCGAAGAACUUCCAGGGAUUCCCCCUGCUAGAGCUGUCGAAUUCAUCAUUGACUUAAAACCAGGCACAACUCGUAUAGCCAAACGGCCCUACAAGAUGUCGCCGCAUGAACUCAUUGAGCUUAAGGAGGAAAUCGACAAAUCUCUUCGAAGUGGUUUCAUUCGCCCUAGUUGCUCUCCUUGGGGAGCACCUUCUCUCUUUGUCAAGAAGAAGGAUGGGACAAACCGAUUGGUCCAUGACUACCGCCGUAUUAACCAGGCUACCAUUCAGAACAAAUAUUCUCUUCCUUAGAUCAAUGAUCUAUAUGAUCAACUGGCUGGUUCGUCAGUGUUCUCUAAACUCGACUUGAGGUUGGUAUACCAUCAGAUUCGUGUUCGUGAAGAAGAUAUCCCAAAGACCGCAUUUGUGACUCGCUAUGGAUCAUACGAGUACACCGUCAUGUCUUUUGGAUUAACCAAUGCUCCAGCCACCUUCUCUCGUCUGAUGAACUAUAUCUUUAUGGAAUACCUUGACAAAUUUGUCGUGGUUUAUCUGGAUGAUAUCCUUGUAUAUUCCAAGAAUGAAGAGGAACAUGCUGAACAUCUUCGUCUUGUUCUGAAAAAGCUUAGAGAGCAUCAACUCUAUGCCAAGUUCUCCAAGUGUGAAUUCUGGCUUCCCGAAGUAACCUAUCUUGGGCAUGUCAUCUCUAAGGAUGGUAUUGCUGUCAACCCUGAGCGAGUUCAGGCUAUUCUAGAUUGGACUCCUCCGAAGAAUGUCAAGCAAGUCAGAAGUUUUCUCGGACUCGCCAGCUAUUGCCGUCGAUUCGUCGAGAACUUCUCCAAGAUCGCUAGACCUCUGACUAACCUGCUUCAUAAGGGCGCCAAGUUUCAACGGACAGAAAAGUGUCAGGAAAGUUUCCAGGCGCUCAAAGACAAGUUGACCUCUGCCCCAGUGCUUGCUCCUCUAGAUACUAAGAAGGACUUCGUCAUUUAUUGUGAUGCUUCACGUCAAGGCUUAGGCGCUGUCCUAAUGCAAGAGCGCAAGGUGAUUGCUUAUGCCUCUCGUCAAUUGCACCCUCACGAAGAGAACUAUCCAGUUCAUGACCUCGAGCUUGCUGCUGUUAUCCAUGCACUGAAACAGUGGCGACAUUACCUUCUCGGUAAUCGUUGCGAGAUCUUCACCGACCACCAAAGUCUGAAGUAUCUGUUUACUCAACCAGAUCUGAACCUCCAUCAGCAGAGAUGGAUGGAGAUUGUUGCAGAUUUUAACCUGGGUAUUUCGUAUACCCUAGGCAAGGCUAAUGUGAUGGCUGAUGCCUUGAGCCGCAAGUCUUACUGCAACCACCUCCAGGUUCACAAAGUUCAACCCUCGCUUGUUGAAGAAUUCAGAAAGCUGAAACUCCAUAUUGUUCCUCCUGGUGCACUCGCUCCCCCUCCUCUGGAGUUUCGCAAGAUGAACCUCCACGUUGUUUCCCGGGGUUCUCUCAAUACCAUAGUUGCUAGACCAGAUCUUGUGGACACCAUCAAAUGGAUACAGAAAUGUGACGAUGAAGUCGAGCGGAUUAAACGUUAUCUCGCAGAAGGAAAGCCCUCAUUCUUCUCUGUUGAUGACGCAGGCACCUUAUUCUUCAAAGGUCGUCUAGUGGUACCGAGUAAGAGGGAAAACCUGAAUCUGACUCCAAGGGUUAUGCAAGAAGCUCAUGAUACACCUUUGUCUAUUCAUCCCGGUAGUACCAAGAUGUACCAAGACAUUCGUCAGAGAUUCUGGUGGUCUAAUAUGAAGCAAGAUAUUGCUCGUUAUGUUGCUGAGUGUGACGUUUGUCGUCGUAUCAAAGCAGAGCAUCAAAGGCCUGCUGGAACUCUGCAACCUAUCUCUAUUCCUGAAUGGAAAUAGGACCAUGUUGAAAUGGACUUCGUCACUAGAUUUCCCAAAUCGCAGAAAGGUAAUGAUGCUAUUCUUGUCGUCAUUGACCGGCUUUCUAAAGUUGCGCAUUUUCUGGCUGUCAAGGAAACGAUCACUGCUAGUCAGCUGGCAAACCUCUACAUGUCCAGAAUUGUCUCGCUUCACGGUAUUCCAUUGGUAAUUAGUUCAGACCGUGGCAACUUAUUCACUUCAAGAUUCUGGGCAAGUUUCCAAGAAGCUAUGGGCACUCAUCUGUCUUUCAGCACUGCUUUUCAUCCUCAGUCGCAAGGGCAAGUUGAACGUGUCAACCAAGUUCUCGAAGACAUGCUUCGAGCUUGUGUUAUUUCCUUCUGCAAGAAAUGGGAGGAAUCUCUCCCGUAUGCCGAGUUCUCUUAUAAUAAUAGCUAUUAAGCUAGUCUGAAGAUGGCCCCCUUUGAAGUGUUAUAUGGACGAAAGUGCCGAACCCCUCUGAACUGGUCAGAAACUGGGGAACGUCCACUCUUCGGUCCGGAUAUUAUCCAACAUGCCGAAGAACAAGUCCGCAUUAUUCGCGAGAAUCUCAAGACUGCUCAGUCGCGUCAGAAGAGUCAGUAUGACCGUAAACAAUAAGGACAUGGUCUAUCAGCCUGGCGAAAAGGCCUAUCUUCGCGUUACACCAAUGAAGGGUGCUCACCGCUUUGGGAUCAAGGGAAAGCUAGCUCCUCGCUAUAUUGGCCCAUUCACUAUUCUGGAAAGGCGUGGAAAAGUGGCAUACCAACUGGAGCUUCCGCCGAACCUUUCUCAGGUUCAUGAUGUGUUCCAUGUGUCACAGCUCCGCCGUUGCUUCAAGGACCCAAUCCGAGGAGUGGAUCAUGAAGUGCUCGAAUUACAACAGAACCUCUCCUAUAAAGAGCAUCCGGUCCGCAUUCUUGACCAAGCCGAACGCCGCACACGUCAGAAGGCGAUCAAAUUCCUCAAAGUUCAGUGGUCGCACCAUUCUGAAGAUGAAGCCACUUGGGAACGCGAGGAUCGUCUGCGCGAAGAAUACCCCGCACUGUUUCCUUCUACCUCUCAAAUCUCGGGACGAGAUUUCUUGUAGUGGAGGAGAUUUGUAACGCCCGGAUAAUUAUGCUACAGUAAAACUCUGUAUUGAUGCCACGCCACCUUCGUUACUGUUGCUAAUCUUUCAUUAGUUCAAAACCGGUCCAAAAAUCAAAAUUCAAAAUAUGACAAACAACAAAAGUUUUCAAACAUCAAAACAAAAAUGUUCGGGCAGUGCCAAAUAUUGCAUAGGUAAUUAUGGUGAAGUAAACACAUUUUUAGAAAAUGACUAAAUACUUUAAAAUGAAAUAAAA
RNAcentral lists this long non-coding RNA (21491 nucleotides) under Triticum aestivum (bread wheat). RNAcentral's name for it is "long non-coding RNA (TAES_LNC006985)". The record is from RNAcentral. Lineage: Eukaryota; Viridiplantae; Streptophyta; Magnoliopsida; Poales; Poaceae.